This 626-nucleotide ribosomal RNA is filed under the name uncultured bacterium. RNAcentral describes it as "bacterial SSU rRNA". It matches the Rfam family "Bacterial small subunit ribosomal RNA", at positions 249 to 885 of the family's 1533-position model. The record is from RNAcentral.
UUGGUGGGGUAAUGGCCUACCAAGGCGACGACGGGUAGCCGGCCUGAGAGGGUGACCGGCCACACUGGGACUGAGACACGGCCCAGACUCCUACGGGAGGCAGCAGUGGGGAAUCUUGCACAAUGGGCGAAAGCCUGAUGCAGCGACGCCGCGUGAGGGAUGACUGCCUUCGGGUUGUAAACCUCUUUCAGCAGGGAAGAAGCGAAAGUGACGGUACCUGCAGAAGAAGCACCGGCUAACUACGUGCCAGCAGCCGCGGUAAUACGUAGGGUGCGAGCGUUGUCCGGAAUUAUUGGGCGUAAAGAGCUUGUAGGCGGUUUGUCGCGUCUGCCGUGAAAUUUCGAGGCUCAACCUCGAACUUGCGGUGGGUACGGGCAGACUAGAGUGUGGUAGGGGAGACUGGAAUUCCUGGUGUAGCGGUGAAAUGCGCAGAUAUCAGGAGGAACACCGAUGGCGAAGGCAGGUCUCUGGGCCACUACUGACGCUGAGAAGCGAAAGCAUGGGGAGCGAACAGGAUUAGAUACCCUGGUAGUCCAUGCCGUAAACGUUGGGAACUAGGUGUGGGUCUCAUUCCACGAGAUCCGUGCCGCAGCUAACGCAUUAAGUUCCCCGCCUGGGGAGUACGG